AGGGGGAACUGGCUUAAAAUACUUUCUACAGUACUGGAGUGGAAAUGAAAAGUGUGGUAUUCUCAAAGCACGUCUAUCAGGCCAGGAUCAAUACGAAAUGCACGUAUGGGAUAGUAAAGUUAAUGAAGCAAACUCGGAGUGCAUGCAAAAAUACAAUGAUUUAACUACUGGAAGAACAUCACACGACGUUUAUUCUGCCAGCUGCAAGACUUCCGCCUGAAAACAUUGAGCUGGAACAUUCUCAGAAGAUAAGCCUCUUAGCGAAAAAAUCAUCUGAAAAGUAUAUUUUGUAGAAUGUAGCAGUAAAAUGGAGCAUGUCUAAAAAUCAAAGAA
This is a long non-coding RNA of Dermacentor silvarum, 333 nucleotides long. RefSeq lists it as uncharacterized. Lineage: Eukaryota; Metazoa; Arthropoda; Arachnida; Ixodida; Ixodidae. The transcript is spliced from 2 exons. The record is from RefSeq and is a predicted model, not a curated record.